UUACCAGUCAGUUCAGAUAUAAUUGUUAUGUUCAUUUUCAAUGUUCAUUCAGCUUUGAAAUUUUGUUCAUGCUAAUUCACAACUACAUUGUGAAGGAUAGCCAGCUUAUUAUUCAAACUCUUUCAAUCAUGAUAUAUCUUUACCUUGUUUUUUUUAAACUUGCUGGGCAACUUUCAUGCUCACCCUUGCUAUAUCAUGAUAAAACAUUGCAGAUAAGGCGAAUACGGCCAGAUACAGGAAAAGGAUAAUGCCAAGUUCAGCUUGGGAUAAAAUGUGAAGUUAAGUUAUAAAGUAUGUUGAAGAAUAGUAUUGUCAUGUGUUAGACAGUUCACGAUUGUGUAUUAGUUAAGGUUACUCGAUUUUGGGAAUAGUGUGUAAAGUUUAAUGUAUAAACAAUUUAUGUUUAUAUCUUCCGCAACAGUUGUAGAAAUAGCGAACCG
Molecule: long non-coding RNA, 440 nt
Filed under: Panax ginseng (ginseng)
Lineage: Eukaryota; Viridiplantae; Streptophyta; Magnoliopsida; Apiales; Araliaceae
Description: long non-coding RNA (PGIN_LNC006096)
Source: RNAcentral